Molecule: ribosomal RNA, 447 nt
Filed under: uncultured bacterium
Lineage: Bacteria
Description: partial 16S ribosomal RNA
Rfam family: Bacterial small subunit ribosomal RNA
Source: RNAcentral
GUUAAGAAUCUUGCGCAAUGGGGGGAACCCUGACGCAGCGACGCCGCGUGGAUGAUGAAGGCCUUCGGGUUGUAAAGUCCGGUAAGCAGGGAAGAAUAAGUGUGGGGUAAUAUUCCACAUGAUGACGGUACCUGCCUAAAGCCCCGGCUAACUACGUGCCAGCAGCCGCGGUAAUACGUAUGGGGCAAGCGUUGUUCGGAAUUAUUGGGCGUAAAGGGCGUCUAGGCGGGGGAUUAAGUUAGAUGUGAAAGCUAUGGGCUCAACCCAUAAAUUGCAUCUAAGACUGGUUCUCUUGAGUCCGGGAGAGGAGAGCGGAAUUCCAGGUGUAGCGGUGAAAUGCGUAGAUAUCUGGAAGAACACCAGUGGCGAAGGCGGCUCUCUGGCCUAGGACUGACGCUGAAGCGCGAAAGCGUGGGGAACAAACAGGAUUAGAAACCCGAGUAGUCC